GGGGGUGUACCGGAUUCGACCCGUACGGUCCGGAUUGCGGGCAGCAGGUGGAGACGCCGACCUCCUGAUUCGGCAACCUUUUACGUGCCAACAACAACGGCACCCUCGCUCUCGCCGCGUAAGCGCCGUUAGCGACGGACUCGCGGUCGCGCCGCCUUGAGCGGCCGUAGCGUCCGACACCAACCGAGGCUUGCCCAGACCGGGGUCCGGACCGGUUUGGGGACUAACUCCGGAAUACGGGAGGGAAAGCGUGCCGCUCCGCCACCCCCUCCUCGACAACUUGAAUGACCGGCUAAACCUGUAGACGUUCGCCUUUCGCGUUCGGGGACGCGGGUUCAACUCCCGCCACCUCCAACA
This 357-nucleotide transfer-messenger RNA is filed under the name Spirochaetaceae bacterium. It matches the Rfam family "transfer-messenger RNA". Rfam says of the family: Bacterial tmRNA, also known as 10Sa RNA or SsrA, is named for its dual tRNA and mRNA-like properties. Its role is to liberate the mRNA from a stalled ribosome. The record is from RNAcentral. Lineage: Bacteria; Pseudomonadati; Spirochaetota; Spirochaetia; Spirochaetales; Spirochaetaceae.